AUUGAACGCUGGCGGCAUGCUUUACACAUGCAAGUCGAACGGCAGCACGGGAGCGAUCCUGGUGGCGAGUGGCGAACGGGUGAGUAAUGUAUCGGAACAUGCCCAGUCGUGGGGGAUAACGCAGCGAAAGUUGUGCUAAUACCGCAUACGAUCUAUGGAUGAAAGCGGGGGAUCGCAAGACCUCGCGCGAUUGGAGUGGCCGAUAUCAGAUUAGGUAGUUGGUGGGGUAAAGGCCCACCAAGCCGACGAUCUGUAGCUGGUCUGAGAGGACGGCCAGCCACACUGGGACUGAGCCACGGCCCAGACUCCUACGGGAGGCAGCAGUGGGGAAUUUUGGACAAUGGGCGCAAGCCUGAUCCAGCAAUGCCGCGUGCAGGAUGAAGGCCUUCGGGUUGUAAACUGCUUUUGUAUGGAACGAAAAGACUCUCUCUAAUAAAGGGGGUUGAUGACGGUACCAUGAGAAUAAGCACCGGCUAACUACGUGCCAGCCGCCGCGGUAA
RNAcentral lists this ribosomal RNA (500 nucleotides) under uncultured bacterium. RNAcentral describes it as "partial 16S ribosomal RNA". It matches the Rfam family "Bacterial small subunit ribosomal RNA", at positions 30 to 523 of the family's 1533-position model. The record is from RNAcentral.